Non-coding RNA from Salvelinus sp. IW2-2015, 798 nucleotides. The record is from RefSeq and is a predicted model, not a curated record. NCBI's taxonomy places the organism in Eukaryota, Metazoa, Chordata, Actinopteri, Salmoniformes, Salmonidae.
CUGCAGGACCGGCUACAAAAUACUUUACAACACUUUUACCUAACCAACAACCAACACAGCACAUACCAAGAAGCUCUCUUUUCCCUAAUAAAGGAACACUGGCUUUUAUCCAGCUGGAGAAGGAGUUUGUAAUUGAAACCAGCUGUUUCCCCUGAUGAGAGGGAUGGUUCAGAGCUUCAAUCGUAGAUGGGGCCGACCAAUCAGUUGCUUAGAAUCCAGGAAGCCGUUUCCUGAAAUACACACAUACAUAUCCAAAACAACACAGAAACUGGGCGAUGUAACAUGGUGAAAGAGAUGAGUGAGGCUGCCGCUCGUGUGCGUGUCCCACCGAUUUUCUGACAAUUGGAUUGGCUUCGUGUUCACGUGAAACAUCGUCAGACACGGCCCUUCUCACCAACACCCAACGUACUGUCCAGGAGCACUCUGCUCUGCAACUCCAUCAACCUCUGCCCCAUCUCCCUGACCCAGCUCCAAUGAAGGAGGAAGACAGCUGAGGAUCCUUUGGACACUGACAUUAUGCAGCAGACGGAUGACUUAAAGACAUGGCAGCAGGAGUUACAGAAACGGCAGCAGUGUCCAGCAAAGGCCGUCUACAACGUCAUGGAUGGUGUCUAUUUUUGCUGAUAAAUGUCUCCUGUUUGUCAUGGACAUGACAAUGUACUUUCACAGUACCAUCGAUCAGUACUGUGUCCGCUCCGUCCGCUCUUGAGACAGAGCCCUCCUCAACCCAAAAACUGGUUGUGUGCUUUUGUCUUAACGAGUUUAAGUUUUUUUUACCUAUUAAAUCUGUGAAUAACA